Non-coding RNA from Phoenix dactylifera (date palm), 1535 nucleotides. Lineage: Eukaryota; Viridiplantae; Streptophyta; Magnoliopsida; Arecales; Arecaceae. The record is from RefSeq and is a predicted model, not a curated record.
UCGCCAAGGACUCGGUCGAUUGAUCUAUCCGGAGAGAAAAGGAACCCUAGAAUCGGAGACAAGGGGGAGAGUGAUGGAGUUCUUGUUCUUUGAGUGGGAUAGAAGGGACGAAGACAGAGUCACCGCCGAUCCCAACGACAUGGGAGAAAGAGAGGGGAAGACGAAAGACUGCGAAGAAGCGGGACACGCGAAAAAAAAAUAAACUAAAGGAGGGCAAAAAGGUCAGGUGAUUAUGAAUAUUAUUUAUUUUUUUAAUUCCAACUACUAACUGCACUGAUGGACACGUGGAUUCGUCUCCACGUGGAUUCGGCGGAGACUCGGAGCGCAUCUUAAUCGGAUGCUCUCCAUAAAUGCGGUACAUGGUACGCGGAUCUGUACCGGCGUUUGGAUGCUCCUUAUCUUGAACAGAUGAAGAGGCUAAUAUUGCACGGAUCUGUAAAGGAUUCCAUCUUUCUGAUAUGAUUGAAGUGGAAGGCAAGGAGGUCUUAGAAGGGAGGAUUUUGGAUUUUGGUGGUAGGCAAGUCACAAGCACAAUCGCUGGGAAAGAGAUGGGAGGAUUUUUUUUCACUCUUACGGUGGCAUAAUUUACACCUAGCAAUCUCAUAGGAUGUGAGACAACAAGUAGGGAGAAUUAUUAAUGAAAGUAACAAAUAUUCCAAGCUCAACUUACAUAGGCAUAUGCAUAGGCCCUCUCAAAAUUAAAAAUUUAGAGGCAUGGUUUUGAUACGAUCAUAAGAAAUGUAAAUUAGUUGGAUUUCAAUUAUAUGUGAUUUAAGAUGCCUAAAUUAAUAUAAUGGCUUCAGCUCUCAGCUUGCAUAGGUUAUGAUACAUUUUAAUGUACUAGCUUUUUCCAUUCAAACAUUAUACAGUAAUUUAAAUCUUGAUUUUGAAAUCCUUAUUGUGAUAGAUAGAUUUGCUCUUACAUUUGAUUAUCAGCAUCGUGUUAUUAGCAAGGGGUAUCUAAAUUAUAAUUAUAGAUGCAUGUUUGCUUAGAUUCUGUUAGGGAAUUAAACAUAAAAAAUCUAGAUGUACGAUGGACGCUCCUAAGUAGAGAAAUCACAAAAGGAUGGUAGAAGAAAUCAAUGAGUCAAUGACAACAUAAUUUUGAGAUCUGGAAGGUGAGGCUUUGAAUGACAACUAUGUGAAAUUGCAAGAAAUUUUGAUGCAUAUCACGCAUUGCAUGUUGGAGCCGGGCUCAGACGAACUAAUGUUUUAUACCAAGUGAGAUUAUCAAAAUUUUGCAGGUCUCAAGUGGUUGUUGGUUGCCUAUUUACAUAAUCAUCUAGUCAUUUUCCAACUCUUUAAGAUUGUCUUGUCAUCAUAUUAUUUGCCAUUACUACCAACUGCAAGCUCAAUUAUACGGCUUAUUUCAAAUAUUAAAAGAGGAAAAUUAAAUUUGCCCAAAACUUGAACUCACAUUGCAUCCUUCUAGAGUGGUUCGGUAUUAGAUUCAGAUAAGGACCACACAUGGUUUCCUAUCAAGUAUAGGUGGAUUUCACUCGGUUGUAUGUAGAGGUUUAGCUUUUCUCAUAAUA